UUUUUUUUUAAAACGAAUUUCACAUAGCCAACUCCGUUUCACCAUGCAAAUUAAAACAAGAACUUACAUUAACAAAACUAUGAAUAGAAAUAUCAGUACAAUUACUAGGAUGUUAUCACCGGAUAUAGUAAUUUACUCUCACUCAAGACAUUUAAAUUCGGUUAGUUGUACCUCUUGACACAAAUUUGCUUUAACAGGAAUCCAGGCAAGAAUUCCUCAGUUCAUAACAAAAUGGUACCUUGAAUCCACAUAGCUCUCAACAUCCCAGAGGAACGAACCAAAAGUCACAGCCUCCAAAACAAGCCUCUUCAAACCACCAAAGCUGAUCUUUCAUCCUUGGAAGAGUCAAUGGUCCCUUGAGGAGUUAUCACAAUUUCUGGUCUUCCAAACAAGGCCUC
RNAcentral lists this unclassified non-coding RNA (398 nucleotides) under Hevea brasiliensis (rubber tree). Lineage: Eukaryota; Viridiplantae; Streptophyta; Magnoliopsida; Malpighiales; Euphorbiaceae. The record is from RNAcentral.